Long non-coding RNA from Poecilia latipinna (sailfin molly), 417 nucleotides. RefSeq lists it as uncharacterized. NCBI's taxonomy places the organism in Eukaryota, Metazoa, Chordata, Actinopteri, Cyprinodontiformes, Poeciliidae. The transcript has 3 exons. The record is from RefSeq and is a predicted model, not a curated record.
UCUGAUUUUGAUUGCAAGUCAUGAAGCCCUAGGCGGAAAUUCAACCUGGAAGACUCUUCCGGCAUCACCUAUUACCACGCCUUCACCCCAGCCAAUCAGGACGCACCACCUCUCUACCUCGAUCCAAUCACCUGGCAAGAGCUCCUUCAAAAGACGAAGCAACCACAGAUCCACCCGCUUCAGUUGUGCUUCAACCCACCUCCUCCCUGUUUCCACCACCAGCCUUCCAGACGCCUCCAGGUCCCCUGAAGACUCCUCUCUCCAGCUCCGCUCCACCACCAGUGACCGGGCCCGGGGGAAGACCUACCUGAGCUUCGUUCGAGCCGAUCAUUCAAGCUCGCUGCGAUUCUCAGCACACACGUCUUCCGCCGGUGUCCGAGCGCCAAAUUCUCGGUCCAAUAAAACUGUCUAACUGCU